Long non-coding RNA from Homo sapiens (human), 428 nucleotides. RefSeq lists it as uncharacterized. The record is from RefSeq and is marked validated. NCBI's taxonomy places the organism in Eukaryota, Metazoa, Chordata, Mammalia, Primates, Hominidae. The transcript has 4 exons.
AGAGUGCUAAGAUGUUCCAUUCCUUUUUAAGGAGAUUCCACUGGCCCUUUAAGCAAGAAACGACUUCACAGUUGAAACCUUGGUUUGGAAGACUCUUGUUUCAAAUCUCGGCAGCAUCCAAUGAGCCCUCCUCAUCAGCUGAUGGUGAAGUAGCUGCAUAUCAAGAAUUGGUCUUCCCAAAGCCUAGGCUUUCAGGAGAACUUGGAAGUUUUCAGACAAAAAAGAACGGUGUUUGUAAACCAGAGUCUUUGAAAUCGGUGUGUAUGUUACACCUACAACACAUCCCACACUGGAGGAGCCACCCUCCCAGGGCGAGACAGCAACACAGGCCUCCUGGCCACCCACACAGAGAAUAGAUACAUGAACUUCGGUACAUUGAUGCGGCAGAAUAAGACGGUGUACAGCAGUGACACCAAAGGAACCAUGGC